RNAcentral lists this transfer RNA (66 nucleotides) under human gut metagenome. It matches the Rfam family "tRNA". Rfam says of the family: Transfer RNA (tRNA) molecules are approximately 80 nucleotides in length. Their secondary structure includes four short double-helical elements and three loops (D, anti-codon, and T loops). The record is from RNAcentral.
GGGUAUGGUGUAAAGGUAGCACAAAGGUCUCCAAAACCUUUUGCGAGGGUUCGAAUCCUUCUACCC